Molecule: ribosomal RNA, 253 nt
Filed under: uncultured bacterium
Lineage: Bacteria
Description: partial 16S ribosomal RNA
Rfam family: Bacterial small subunit ribosomal RNA
Source: RNAcentral
UACGUAGGUGGCAAGCGUUGUCCGGAAUUAUUGGGCGUAAAGCGCGCGCAGGCGGUUUCUUAAGUCUGAUGUGAAAGCCCACGGCUCAACCGUGGAGGGUCAUUGGAAACUGGGAAGCUUGAGUGCAGGAGAGGAGAGUGGAAUUCCACGUGUAGCGGUGAAAUGCGUAGAUAUGUGGAGGAACACCAGUGGCGAAGGCGACUCUCUGGCCUGUAACUGACGCUGAGGCGCGAAAGCGUGGGGAGCGAACAGG